AUUGAACGCUAGCGGGAUGCUUUACACAUGCAAGUCGAACGAGUGGCGGACGGGUGAGUAAUAGAUCCGAACGUGCCCAGUAGCGGGGGAUAACUACUCGAAAGAGUGGCUAAUACCGCAUACUAUUUGAGAGGCCGAUAUCUGAUUAGCUAGUUGGUGGGUUAAAGUCUCACCAAGGCAAAGAUCCGUAGCUGGUUUGAGAGGACGACCGGCCACACUGGCACUGGUACACGGGCGAGACUCCUACGGGAGGCAGCAGUGGGGAAUUUUGGACAAUGGGGAAAACCCUGAUCCAGCCAUCCCGCGUGUAUGAGAAGGCCUUCGGGUUGUAAAGUUCUUUUGGCAGAGAUGCGGUAUCUGCAGAAUAAGCACCGGCUAACUACGUGCCAGCGGCCGCGGUAAUAC
RNAcentral lists this ribosomal RNA (405 nucleotides) under uncultured bacterium. Its description in RNAcentral is "partial 16S ribosomal RNA". It matches the Rfam family "Bacterial small subunit ribosomal RNA", at positions 30 to 526 of the family's 1533-position model. The record is from RNAcentral.